RNAcentral lists this transfer RNA (79 nucleotides) under Erythrobacter sp. Dej080120_24. Its description in RNAcentral is "tRNA-Ala". Lineage: Bacteria; Pseudomonadati; Pseudomonadota; Alphaproteobacteria; Sphingomonadales; Erythrobacteraceae. The record is from RNAcentral.
GUCAUCACCGGGCUGAUCGGGGCGGUGCUGAUCGGGCUGGCGUUCUGGUCGUCGGUGCGUUCCAACCGCGCCGAUGCCA